RNAcentral lists this ribosomal RNA (253 nucleotides) under uncultured bacterium. RNAcentral describes it as "partial 16S ribosomal RNA". It matches the Rfam family "Bacterial small subunit ribosomal RNA", at positions 524 to 776 of the family's 1533-position model. The record is from RNAcentral.
UACGUAGGUGGCAAGCGUUGUUCGGAAUUAUUGGGCGUAAAGGGCGCGUAGGCGGUUUGUUAAGUCAGCUGUGAAAGCCCGGGGCUCAACCCCGGAGGGUCAGCUGAUACUGGCAGGCUAGAGUACAGAAGAGGUAACUGGAAUUCCCGGUGUAGCGGUGAAAUGCGUAGAGAUCGGAAAGAACACCAACGGCGAAAGCACUCUGCUGGGCCGACACUGACACUGAGAGACGAAAGCUAGGGGAGCGAAUGGG